Molecule: RNA transcript, 3254 nt
Organism: Centropristis striata (black sea bass)
Lineage: Eukaryota; Metazoa; Chordata; Actinopteri; Perciformes; Serranidae
Gene: znf143b
Gene name: zinc finger protein 143b
Exons: 17
Source: RefSeq, a predicted model, not a curated record
AUGGAUGCCGAUAUUAAACCUCUGUCCUGCUCCGUGUUUCUGCCUCCUCCGGCCUCCUCCGGCCCGGCCCUCUGCUCCUCGGCUCCCCGGGGCUCGGAGCCCUCAGUCCGGGUCUCCUGCCGCCUCCUGAGGACCUCCACAUGCUGGUUUUAUUUAUUUAUCGCGGCUCUUUUCUCCUCUGAGAGCCCGAGACGAGACGAAACCCGACGCAGAAUGGCGUCUGUCCGGGGCCCGGGACUCUGAAUGACGGCUCCGGGUUAUGCAGCAGAGUCUCCGGAACCAAUCAGCGGGCCCGGAUCCCGGAGGGGGCGGGUCUUAGCGGGCUGGGUGAUGCCGUGAUUCAUGUUCCCGGCAGGUCGCUUCCUGCAGAGGUGCAUGGUGGUCGAACAGGAGGAAUUGUGUGAAAUCUUCAGAGCAGCUGAAGCAUGCUCUUGGCUCAGAUCAACCGGGACUCUCAGGGAAUGGCGGAGUUUCACGACGCCGACGGCCAGCCGGUGACGCUCUGCCUGACGGAGGCCGUCACCGUGGCAGACGGGGAGCAGAUGGAGAGCAUGGACACGGUGAGCCUGCAGGCGGUGACGCUGGCGGACGGCUCCACCGCGUACAUCCAGCACGACGCCAAGUCGGCCUUCUCCGACGGGCAGAUCAUGGACGGGCAGGUGAUCCAGCUGGAGGACGGCUCGGCGGCCUACGUCCAGCACGUCUCCAUGCCCAAAGGAGGAGGAGACAGUUUACAGCUUGAGGACGGCCAGGCCGUCCAGCUGGAGGACGGAACGACGGCCUUCAUCCACACUCCCAAAGACUCCUAUGAGCAGGGCGGGCUGCAGGAGGUGCAGCUGGAGGACGGCAGCACGGCGUACAUCCAGCACACGGUGCACCAGGCCAACACCAUCCUCGCCAUCCAGGCCGACGGCACCAUCGCCGACCUGCAGGCCGACGCCGCCGCCGCCAUCGACCCCGACACCAUCAGCGUGCUGGAGCAGUACACCACCAAGGUGGAGAACAUAGAGAACCCUCUGGGUUCCUUCGGCAGAGUGGAGGCAGAUAACGGAGUCCACAUGAGGAUCGUGUUACAGGGUCAGGACAACCGUCCGGGUCGAGGAACAAACGUAGGAGAGAAAUCUUUCCGCUGCGAAUACGAAGGCUGCGGAAAACUCUACACCACGGCCCACCACCUCAAGGUGCACGAGCGCUCCCACACCGGAGACAAACCCUACGUCUGUGACUACCCCGGCUGUGGCAAGAAGUUUGCAACAGGCUACGGACUGAAGAGUCACUCACGCACACACACAGGUGAGAAACCGUACAGGUGUCAGGAGCUGAACUGCUGCAAGUCCUUCAAAACCUCCGGAGACCUCCAGAAGCACACCAGGACUCACACAGGAGAGAAGCCCUUCAAGUGUCCGGUGGAGGGCUGCGGCCGCUCCUUCACCACCUCCAACAUCCGUAAGGUUCACAUCCGGACCCACACCGGGGAGCGGCCCUACUACUGCUCCGAGCCCAGCUGUGGCCGCUCCUUCGCCAGCGCCACCAACUACAAGAACCACAUGAGGAUACACACCGGAGAGAAACCGUACGUGUGCACCGUGCCUGGCUGUGAGAAACGCUUCACAGAAUACUCCAGCCUUUACAAACACCACGUGGUUCACACGCCCUGCAAACCCUACAACUGCAACCACUGUGGGAAGACCUACAAGCAGAUCUCCACCCUGGCCAUGCACAAACGCACCGCACACAACGACACGGAGCCCAUCGAGGAGGAGCAGGAGGCCUACUUUGAGCCCCCAGUAGACGCCAUCGACGACCCGAGCGUCAGCUACUCGGCGGCCGUGGUCGAGGCGGACGACUCGGGCUCGGAGCAGCUUCCUGUCGACGGCUCCGAUAUGAUUGGUCAGCAGCAGCACGUUGCCUUGGUAACGCAGGAGGACGGGACACAGCAGCAGGUCAGCAUCUCUGAAGCAGACCUUCAGGCGAUGGGAGGAACCAUCACCAUGGUGACCCAGGAAGGCACCACCAUCACCAUCCCCGCCCACGAACUGGCCUCGCAGGGGGCGCACUCCGUCACCAUGGUGACCACCGACGGCUCAGAGGAACAGGUGGCCAUCAUGACUCCUGAUAUGACCUCCUUCCAGACGGUGGAGGAGGCGAGCUACAGCCAGGAGCAGGACGACCUCCACCCCGUCACGCUGCUCGCCACCUCCAACGGCACGCACAUCGCUGUCCAGCUCAGCGACCAGCCGUCUCUGGAGGAAGCCAUCAGGAUAGCGUCCCGGAUCCAGCAGGGAGAGUCUCCAGGUCUGGACGAUUGAUCCAGGUCUGGGUGAUUGAUCCAGGUCUGGACGAUUGAUCCAGGUCUGGACGAUUGAUCCAGGUCUGGACGGUUGAUCCAGGUCUGGACGAUUGAUCCAGUUUCUGGACGGUUGAUCCAGCAGGGAGAGUCUCCAGGUCUGGACGAUUGAUCCAGGUCUGGACGAUUGAUCCAGGUCUGGACGGUUGAUCCAGGUCUGGACGACUGAUCCAGGUCUGGACGACUGAUCCAGGUCUGGACGACUGAUCCAGGUCUGGACGGUUGAUCCAGGUCUGGACGACUGAUCCAGGUCUGGAUGAUUGAUCCAGGUCUGGAUGAUUGAUCCAGGUCUGGGUGAUUGAUCCAGGUCUGGACGACUGAUCCAGAUCCAGAUGAUUGAUCCAGCAGGGAGAGUCUCCAGGUCUGGGUGAUUGAUCCAGGUCUGGAUUAUUGAUCCAGGUCUAGAUGAUUGAUCCAGGUCUAGAUGAUUGAUCCAGCAGGGAGAGUCGCCAGGUCUGGGUGAUUGAUCCAGGUCUAGAUGAUUGAUCCAGGUCUAGAUGAUUGAUCCAGCAGGGAGAGUCGCCAGGUCUGGGUGAUUGAUCCAGGUCUGGAUUAUUGAUCCAGGUCUGGACGACUGAUCCAGAUCCAGAUGAUUGAUCCAGCAGGGAGAGUCUCCAGGUCUGGACGAUUGACGGACUCAUCACGGACUGAUUGAUCGAUUGAUUGAUUCAGGAUCAGAUCUCAAGUGGACUUUAUCAGCCAGAGAAAUCAUGAGUCUUCCUCUGUGUUUCUUUUUCUUUUUUUCACAAAAGAACUUAGCUUUUAUGUGUACAUAGAUUUUGAUAACUGGAGUUCUGCUUUGCUAUUUUGUCCGUCAGCCAGAAACAGACGGAGGAGAAAGUCUUUGUAAUGUUUCUGGAGCUCGUGUACAGCUAAUGCUAUUUCUAAUUAAAAUAAGAAAAACGUG